Molecule: ribosomal RNA, 492 nt
Filed under: uncultured Mycobacterium sp.
Lineage: Bacteria; Bacillati; Actinomycetota; Actinomycetes; Mycobacteriales; Mycobacteriaceae
Description: bacterial SSU rRNA
Rfam family: Bacterial small subunit ribosomal RNA
Source: RNAcentral
UCAUGCAAGUCGAACGGAAAGGCCUCUUCGGAGGUACUCGAGUGGCGAACGGGUGAGUAACACGUGGGCAAUCUACCCUGCACUUCGGGAUAAGCCUGGGAAACUGGGUCUAAUACCGGAUAGGACCUCAAGACGCAUGUCUUCUGGUGGAAAGCUUUUGCGGUGUGGGAUGGGCCCGCGGCCUAUCAGCUUGUUGGUGGGGUGACGGCCUACCAAGGCGACGACGGGUAGCCGGCCUGAGAGGGUGUCCGGCCACACUGGGACUGAGAUACGGCCCAGACUCCUACGGGAGGCAGCAGUGGGGAAUAUUGCACAAUGGGCGCAAGCCUGAUGCAGCGACGCCGCGUGGGGGAUGACGGCCUUCGGGUUGUAAACCUCUUUCACCAUCGACGAAGGUCCGGGUUUUCUCGGAUUGACGGUAGGUGGAGAAGAAGCACCGGCCAACUACGUGCCAGCAGCCGCGGUAAUACGUAGGGUGCGAGCGUUGUCCGG